Molecule: long non-coding RNA, 337 nt
Filed under: Amphimedon queenslandica
Lineage: Eukaryota; Metazoa; Porifera; Demospongiae; Haplosclerida; Niphatidae
Description: uncharacterized LOC109585973
Source: RNAcentral
UGCUAUAAAACGCACAGUCCGAUUCCCAGCAAACUAUAGCGGCUUGUUUACAGUGACAUUAAUAUAUCAAAUAUGGAUUGUGAUCACACAAGUGAAAGACGGCUCAAAUUGGAGUACAACAACGGGACUGUCAAAUAUAUUUGUAAGAGUUGCAUUAAAAAAUAUGCACGUACAGGACAACUUCAAAAAGAAAAAGGAAGUAUGACAACUAAAUCAAAGAGAGAUGUGGAGAGAGUUCUCGAUGAAUAGCAAUAACUUUAAAAUGUACAGACAUUAAUUUGCUAAUAUAGGCUAUGUAGUUUUAAUGUUGAGUUAAACACUUGAUAAAAUUACACUA